This 100-nucleotide small RNA is filed under the name bacterium YEK0313. RNAcentral's name for it is "Repression of heat shock gene expression (ROSE) element". It matches the Rfam family "Repression of heat shock gene expression (ROSE) element". Rfam says of the family: This family represents a 5' UTR cis-regulatory element found in heat shock mRNAs and is known as the ROSE (repression of heat shock gene expression) element. The ROSE element is a negative regulator of heat shock gene expression. The record is from Rfam by way of RNAcentral.
CCGGUCGCCGAUAGGGGCCGGCCCGCCGGACUGUGUCACACACACGCCGGCGGGUGACGCUUGUAUCCAUGUUGCUCAAUGGAGGAUGUGGCUAUGAGAA